Molecule: long non-coding RNA, 715 nt
Filed under: Solanum tuberosum (potato)
Lineage: Eukaryota; Viridiplantae; Streptophyta; Magnoliopsida; Solanales; Solanaceae
Description: long non-coding RNA (STUB_LNC007889)
Source: RNAcentral
CGAAUAACAAAACAGUACUCCUUCUCAUUUUGUCCCUUUAUCUUGGAUGUUUUGCAAUAUUUUGAUACAUGGUCAUAUUUUAUAAUAAUACAUUUCUCCUUAAUUUUCAUGUGUUCUUCCUUACCCCUACAUUUAUUCCCGUUGAAAAUUCUCCCAGCAAAUCCACAUUCACAUUGAUGGUAGCACAACAGCUAAUUUGGCGGCAGUGAGGAAAACAAAUUUAAGCAAUUGUUGUUGUUGUCUCCUCUUCAGAAUCAAAUAGUGGAUCUCAUCGAAUAUGUGGGUGAUAUAAAAUUAAGGUUUUGAUAUAAUAUGUUCACUGUUCACAUAAUCCUCCAACCUUGAGGCACACAUCCAUCAAUAUGUACCUAUUGCUCAACAAAACCUAUGUUCACUUCUUCUUUCAAACAACACUAUUUCAUAUCAUUGCAUAUUGAAGGUCCUUGUUGAUGAUCAUUGUUCUAUUUCCUCUUCUUCUCAUAUUAUUCUUGAUUUUCUGUGUAAAUAAGCAAUUUAUCUCGAGGGAAUAGGUUUGUAAGUAGUGUUGGAAGUGGUGGUAAUGAAAUAAGUGAAUUAGCAUAUGUAGUGAUAAUAGUAGUAAUAGAGAGUGUAAUUUUUUUCCUAAUAAUUGAUUUUUAAUAUUUAUUGAAUUAGAUUUGUACACGCUUUGAGUAAAAGAUAUUUGAGUUAUAAAAUAGGCAAAUGACAAGUGUGG